RNAcentral lists this ribosomal RNA (253 nucleotides) under uncultured bacterium. RNAcentral describes it as "partial 16S ribosomal RNA". It matches the Rfam family "Bacterial small subunit ribosomal RNA", at positions 524 to 776 of the family's 1533-position model. The record is from RNAcentral.
UACGUAGGGUGCGAGCGUUAAUCGGAAUUACUGGGCGUAAAGUGUGCGCAGGCGGCCGCGCAAGUCGAGUGUGAAAUCCCCGAGCUUAACUUGGGAAUUGCGCUCGAAACUACGUGGCUGGAGUGUGGCAGAGGAAGGUGGAAUUCCACGUGUAGCGGUGAAAUGCGUAGAUAUGUGGAGGAACACCGAUGGCGAAGGCAGCCUUCUGGGCCAACACUGACGCUCAUGCACGAAAGCGUGGGGAGCAAACAGG